This 633-nucleotide long non-coding RNA is filed under the name Triticum aestivum (bread wheat). RNAcentral's name for it is "long non-coding RNA (TAES_LNC006917)". Lineage: Eukaryota; Viridiplantae; Streptophyta; Magnoliopsida; Poales; Poaceae. The record is from RNAcentral.
CAUAUGCAGUGUAACUUACAAUUAAAGCAUCACAACCAAGAGGUUGAUGAUAUUUUGCUGCCAAAACACCAAGGGAACAAAGUCUAACUUUAGAUUGAUUUGUUGUCCCAGGCAGGCGGCUACUACCUUGAGCAAUCAGGGCGAGGCGAUACCGCGAGAAGGUAAUGUUGUGAUUUAUGAACUCUGGCAAUCACGUUAGCAAUGGUGCCAGGGCGAUGAAACUAGCUGACAAGCUAGCAUCAAGUCAGUUUCAGCACGCCCCACAAGUCGGAUCCCACCUUCAGAGCCCACCUUCGUCAUCGUCUUCCUCCAGCGAUCGGCACUUGGACAUCACCUUCCUCCAAUAGUUGCAAGUGCCCCAGUUUCCUCUGUUGACUCUCCUCGACUGUUAUCGGCUCCGUCAAGCAAUCACACCACCUCCAGUAAGUAAUAUGUGCAUCAAAUUAUCUCCAGCAUGUAUCACCUGCACCAAUUUAGAUAAUUUGCACGGUUCCUGUAUAUGGCAUUGAUGAAUUCGUUACUAAUCAUGGAUCAAUGGAUUGGGUUGCUUACCAUGAUGAAACCAAUUGAGGAAGUACAGAAGAACAGACGGACAAGCAGAGAGCAAACUUCAAACAUCUGCGAGAUGCANNN